RNAcentral lists this ribosomal RNA (279 nucleotides) under uncultured bacterium. Its description in RNAcentral is "partial 16S ribosomal RNA". It matches the Rfam family "Bacterial small subunit ribosomal RNA", at positions 28 to 334 of the family's 1533-position model. The record is from RNAcentral.
GAUGAACGCUGGCGGCGUGCUUAACACAUGCAAGUCGAACGAGAUCUUUCGGGAUUUAGUGGCGGACGGGUGAGUAACGCGUGAGGAUCUGCCUACAGGACCGGGACAACAGUGGGAAACUGCUGCUAAAACCGGAUGUGCCGAGAGGUGAAAUAUUAAUAGCCUGUAGAUGAGCUCGCGUCUGAUUAGCUAGUUGGUGUGGUAAGAGCAUACCAAGGCGACGAUCAGUAGCUGGUCUGAGAGGACGAUCAGCCACACUGGGACUGAGACACGGCCCAG